RNAcentral lists this ribosomal RNA (252 nucleotides) under uncultured Bacteroidales bacterium. RNAcentral describes it as "partial 16S ribosomal RNA". It matches the Rfam family "Bacterial small subunit ribosomal RNA", at positions 524 to 776 of the family's 1533-position model. The record is from RNAcentral. Lineage: Bacteria; Pseudomonadati; Bacteroidota; Bacteroidia; Bacteroidales.
UACGGAGGGUGCAAGCGUUACUCGGAAUCACUGGGCGUAAAGAGCGCGUAGGCGGGAUAGCAAGUCAGCGGUAAAAUCGUGGAGCUCAACUCCAUCCAGCCGUUGAAACUGAUGAUCUUGAGUGGGCGAGAAGUAUGCGGAAUGCGUGGUGUAGCGGUGAAAUGCAUAGAUAUCACGCAGAACUCCGAUUGCGAAGGCAGCAUACCGGCGCCCGACUGACGCUGAAGCACGAAAGCGUGGGUAUCGAACAGG